Molecule: long non-coding RNA, 848 nt
Organism: Salvia splendens (bonfire salvia)
Lineage: Eukaryota; Viridiplantae; Streptophyta; Magnoliopsida; Lamiales; Lamiaceae
Exons: 5
Source: RefSeq, a predicted model, not a curated record
UCCAGUUUGCAUAGCCUUCCCACCUGUUUGAUCCAUUCUCCUUAUCCUACAGCAGGGUAAUUGAAAAUUACUCAGUAACGAUAAGGAUAAUGAAAGGAAAAUGUUGAAACGAUGAAACGAAAUUCAUUAAUAUUCUAAGCAUGUAAGCAGGAGUGGCCUUUAAAUACUGGAGUUUCCGGCUUGUGCAAUCUGAUUACUUAGUUUGAAAGAUUUUGGGAUCACAUCCUGUUUUCAGAACAGCUAUUGGACUAACCUCAGAAAAACAUCUGGUGAUUCUAUGUAGAUGAAGACGAUACGCCUCUUCUGUAAUGACUGAGGACGAGAUUCUAGAAACUAUGGGGAUGAGGUUUCGUGUCAAAUUCUGUGCGUUCAAAAAUGGUGCCCCCACACUUGAGAUCUCCAAUCCCUGUUCGCCUGAGUGCUUGACUGUGAGAACCGGCCACAGGGCAUUGUUCGUGCUGGUCCAGGGGCAGGACGUGCCACCCCCACUAAGGCUUGCUAGUCUCAAAGUGGAGUGGAGGACCCAGCCAUCAAUACAUGGCAAGUCGGUUGGGUUAAUUAUCAGUCUACUAUAUAAACAAUGUUCGAUAAAAUAAUUUGUCCAAGACAAGGGCAUCUUCAACACUUAAAAGAGGAGAAGGGGUGCCCUGUGCAGCCCGGCACCGGCAAGGUAUGGGCCGCUAGAGGGGUGGGAGACUCGCCCUGCAAUUGGAUUGCAGUGUAAUACUAGGUGUGAUCCGUGUUGUCUGACUGCAAGGUAUUUUUAUUUUUUUAAUUUGAAAAUUAUAUUUUAAAUUAUUUAUUUUUAUAACUUUGAUGUUGAAAAUUAAUUGAUUUUAAUUAAGAAA